Molecule: ribosomal RNA, 1287 nt
Filed under: metagenome
Description: bacterial SSU rRNA
Rfam family: Bacterial small subunit ribosomal RNA
Source: RNAcentral
UAGCUAGUUGGUGAGGUAAAGGCUUACCAAGGCGACGAUCUGUAGCGGGUCUGAGAGGAUGAUCCGCCACACUGGAACUGAGACACGGUCCAGACUCCUACGGGAGGCAGCAGUGGGGAAUUUUGGACAAUGGGGGCAACCCUGAUCCAGCCAUGCCGCGUGAGUGAAGAAGGCCUUCGGGUUGUAAAGCUCUUUCGGCCGGGAAGAAAUCGCAUGGGCCAAUACCCUGUGUGGAUGACGGUACCGGAAUAAGAAGCACCGGCUAACUACGUGCCAGCAGCCGCGGUAAUACGUAGGGUGCGAGCGUUAAUCGGAAUUACUGGGCGUAAAGCGUGCGCAGGCGGUUUUGUAAGACAGGCGUGAAAUCCCCGGGCUUAACCUGGGAACUGCGUUUGUGACUGCAAGGCUAGAGUACGGCAGAGGGGGGUGGAAUUCCACGUGUAGCAGUGAAAUGCGUAGAGAUGUGGAGGAACACCAAUGGCGAAGGCAGCCCCCUGGGUCGAUACUGACGCUCAUGCACGAAAGCGUGGGUAGCAAACAGGAUUAGAUACCCUGGUAGUCCACGCCCUAAACUAUGUCAACUAGGUGUUGGGUGGGUAAAACCAUUUAGUACCGUAGCUAACGCGUGAAGUUGACCGCCUGGGGAGUACGGCCGCAAGGUUAAAACUCAAAGGAAUUGACGGGGACCCGCACAAGCGGUGGAUGAUGUGGAUUAAUUCGAUGCAACGCGAAAAACCUUACCUACCCUUGACAUGCCAGGAACUUGCCAGAGAUGGCUUGGUGCCCGAAAGGGAGCCUGGACACAGGUGCUGCAUGGCUGUCGUCAGCUCGUGUCGUGAGAUGUUGGGUCAAGUCCCGCAACGAGCGCAACCCUUGUCGUUAAUUGCCAUCAUUUGGUUGGGCACUUUAACGAGACUGCCGGUGACAAACCGGAGGAAGGUGGGGAUGACGUCAAGUCCUCAUGGCCCUUAUGGGUAGGGCUUCACACGUCAUACAAUGGUCGGUACAAAGGGUUGCCAAGCCGCGAGGCGGAGCCAAUCCCAGAAAGCCGAUCGUAGUCCGGAUUGCAGGCUGCAACUCGCCUGCAUGAAGUCGGAAUCGCUAGUAAUCGUGGAUCUGCAUGUCACGGUGAAUACGUUCCCGGGUCUUGUACACACCGCCCGUCACACCAUGGGAGCGGGUUCCGCCAGAAGUAGGUAGCCUAACCGCAAGGGGGGCGCUUACCACGGCGGGGUUCGUGACUGGGGUGAAGUCGGAACAAGGUAGCCGUAGGGGAACCUGCGGCUG